RNAcentral lists this ribosomal RNA (253 nucleotides) under uncultured bacterium. RNAcentral's name for it is "partial 16S ribosomal RNA". It matches the Rfam family "Bacterial small subunit ribosomal RNA", at positions 524 to 776 of the family's 1533-position model. The record is from RNAcentral.
UACGUAGGGUGCGAGCGUUGUCCGGAAUUAUUGGGCGUAAAGAGCUCGUAGGCGGUGUGUCACGUCGGCCGUGAAAACCAGCAGCUCAACUGUUGGCUUGCGGUUGAUACGGGUGGGCUGGAGUUCGGUAGGGGAGACUGGAAUUCCCGGUGUAGCGGUGAAAUGCGCAGAUAUCAGGAGGAACACCGGUGGCGAAGGCGGGUCUCUGGGCCAGCACUGACGCUCAUGCGCGAAAGCGUGGGGAGCAAACAGG